GACGAACGCUGGCGGCGUGCUUAACACAUGCAAGUCGAACGGAAAGGCCCUGCUUGCAGGGUGCUCGAGUGGCGAACGGGUGAGUAACACGUGGGUGAUCUGCCCCUUACUUUGGGAUAAGCCUGGGAAACUGGGUCUAAUACUGGAUAGGACCAUGCUGUAGGUGGUGUGGUGGUAAGAUUAGUUUCGGUAAGGGAUGAGCUCGCGGCCUAUCAGCUUGUUGGUGGGGUAAUGGCCUACCAAGGCGUCGACGGGUAGCCGGCCUGAGAGGGUGGACGGCGACAUUGGGACUGAGAGACGGCCCAGACUCCGACGGGAGGCAGCAGUGGGGAAUAUUGGACAAUGGGCGCAAGCCUGAUGCAGCGACGCAGCGUGGGGGAUGACGGCCUUCGGGUUGUAAACUCCUUGCAGCCAUGACGAAGCCCUUGGGGUGACGGUAGUGGGAGAAGAAGCACCGGCUAACUACGUG
RNAcentral lists this ribosomal RNA (469 nucleotides) under uncultured bacterium. Its description in RNAcentral is "partial 16S ribosomal RNA". It matches the Rfam family "Bacterial small subunit ribosomal RNA", at positions 28 to 507 of the family's 1533-position model. The record is from RNAcentral.